GGUGAACGUUGGCGGUGCGUCUAAUACAUGCAAGUCGAGCGAGGCUUCGAGCCGAGCGGCAGCCGGCUGAGUAACACGUUGGUAACUACCUCAAACACAGGGAUAACUCCGAGAAAUCGGUGCUAAUACCGGAGGGUCUCGCAAGGGUAAAGUAUUUACGGUUUGAGAGGUGGCUGCGUCCUAUCAGGUAGUUGGCGAGGUAACGGCCCACUAAGGCUAUGACGGGUAACUGGGCUGAGAGGAUGACCAGUCAGAGGGAAACUGAGACACGGUUCCCACAUCUACGGAAGGCAGCAGUAAAGAAUCUUCCACAAUGGACGAAAGUCUGAUGGGGCGACGCCGCGUGCAGGAUGAAGGCCCUUGAGUCGUAAACUGCUUUUUUGGGGGAAAAAUUCCGAUUGUACCCUAAGAAUAAGCACCGGCAAAUCACGUG
Molecule: ribosomal RNA, 433 nt
Filed under: uncultured bacterium
Lineage: Bacteria
Description: partial 16S ribosomal RNA
Rfam family: Bacterial small subunit ribosomal RNA
Source: RNAcentral